GUCCUCGUAGCUUAAUGGAUAAAGCAUCGGAUUGCGGAUCCGAGGACUGAGGGUUCGACUCCCUCCGAGGGCG
RNAcentral lists this transfer RNA (73 nucleotides) under Candidatus Levyibacteriota bacterium. Its description in RNAcentral is "tRNA-Arg". It matches the Rfam family "tRNA". From Rfam's summary of the family: Transfer RNA (tRNA) molecules are approximately 80 nucleotides in length. Lineage: Bacteria; Candidatus Levyibacteriota. The record is from RNAcentral.